Molecule: ribosomal RNA, 489 nt
Filed under: uncultured bacterium
Lineage: Bacteria
Description: bacterial SSU rRNA
Rfam family: Bacterial small subunit ribosomal RNA
Source: RNAcentral
UAGUCUACGCCGUAAACGAUGUGUGCUCGGUGUGUGGCCCUAGAUGGUUGCGCGCCCAAGCUAACGCGAUAAGCACACCGCCUGGGGAGUACGGCCGCAAGGCUAAAACUCAAAGGAAUUGACGGGGGCCCGCACAAGCAGCGGAGCGUGUGGUUUAAUUCGAUGCAACGCGAAGAACCUUACCUGGACUUAACAUGGAAGUGUUAGGGAGCUGAAAAGUAACCGACCUUCAGGAGCUUCCAUAGGUGCUGCAUGGUUGUCGUCAGCUCGUGUCGUGAGAUGUUGGGUUAAGUCCCGCAACGAGCGCAACCCUUGUCGUAUGUUUUAUGUGUCAUGCGAGACUGCCGGUUUCACGCCGGAGGAAGGUGAGGACGACGUCAAAUCAGCAUGGCCUUUAUGUCCAGGGCGACACACACGCUACAAUGGCGCGUACAACAGGUAGCCACCAAGCAAUUGGGAGCUAAUCCAGAAAGCGCGUCUCAGUUCGGA